UUAAGCGACUAAGCGUACACGGUGGAUGCCCUGGCAGUCAGAGGCGAUGAAGGACGUGCUAAUCUGCGAUAAGCGUCGGUAAGGUGAUAUGAACCGUUAUAACCGGCGAUUUCCGAAUGGGGAAACCCAGUGUGUUUCGACACACUAUCAUUAACUGAAUCCAUAGGUUAAUGAGGCGAACCGGGGGAACUGAAACAUCUAAGUACCCCGAGGAAAAGAAAUCAACCGAGAUUCCCCCAGUAGCGGCGAGCGAACGGGGAGCAGCCCAGAGCCUGAAUCAGUGUGUGUGUUAGUGGAAGCGUCUGGAAAGGCGCGCGAUACAGGGUGACAGCCCCGUACACAAAAAUGCACAUGCUGUGAGCUCGAUGAGUAGGGCGGGACACGUGGUAUCCUGUCUGAAUAUGGGGGGACCAUCCUCCAAGGCUAAAUACUCCUGACUGACCGAUAGUGAACCAGUACCGUGAGGGAAAGGCGAAAAGAACCCCGGCGAGGGGAGUGAAAAAGAACCUGAAACCGUGUACGUACAAGCAGUGGGAGCACGCUUAGGCGUGUGACUGCGUACCUUUUGUAUAAUGGGUCAGCGACUUAUAUUCUGUAGCAAGGUUAACCGAAUAGGGGAGCCGAAGGGAAACCGAGUCUUAACUGGGCGUUAAGUUGCAGGGUAUAGACCCGAAACCCGGUGAUCUAGCCAUGGGCAGGUUGAAGGUUGGGUAACACUAACUGGAGGACCGAACCGACUAAUGUUGAAAAAUUAGCGGAUGACUUGUGGCUGGGGGUGAAAGGCCAAUCAAACCGGGAGAUAGCUGGUUCUCCCCGAAAGCUAUUUAGGUAGCGCCUCGUGAACUCAUCUCCGGGGGUAGAGCACUGUUUCGGCAAGGGGGUCAUCCCGACUUACCAACCCGAUGCAAACUGCGAAUACCGGAGAAUGUUAUCACGGGAGACACACGGCGGGUGCUAACGUCCGUCGUGAAGAGGGAAACAACCCAGACCGCCAGCUAAGGUCCCAAAGUCAUGGUUAAGUGGGAAACGAUGUGGGAAGGCCCAGACAGCCAGGAUGUUGGCUUAGAAGCAGCCAUCAUUUAAAGAAAGCGUAAUAGCUCACUGGUCGAGUCGGCCUGCGCGGAAGAUGUAACGGGGCUAAACCAUGCACCGAAGCUGCGGCAGCGACACUAUGUGUUGUUGGGUAGGGGAGCGUUCUGUAAGCCUGUGAAGGUGUGCUGUGAGGCAUGCUGGAGGUAUCAGAAGUGCGAAUGCUGACAUAAGUAACGAUAAAGCGGGUGAAAAGCCCGCUCGCCGGAAGACCAAGGGUUCCUGUCCAACGUUAAUCGGGGCAGGGUGAGUCGACCCCUAAGGCGAGGCCGAAAGGCGUAGUCGAUGGGAAACAGGUUAAUAUUCCUGUACUUGGUGUUACUGCGAAGGGGGGACGGAGAAGGCUAUGUUGGCCGGGCGACGGUUGUCCCGGUUUAAGCGUGUAGGCUGGUUUUCCAGGCAAAUCCGGAAAAUCAAGGCUGAGGCGUGAUGACGAGGCACUACGGUGCUGAAGCAACAAAUGCCCUGCUUCCAGGAAAAGCCUCUAAGCAUCAGGUAACAUCAAAUCGUACCCCAAACCGACACAGGUGGUCAGGUAGAGAAUACCAAGGCGCUUGAGAGAACUCGGGUGAAGGAACUAGGCAAAAUGGUGCCGUAACUUCGGGAGAAGGCACGCUGAUAUGUAGGUGAAGUCCCUCGCGGAUGGAGCUGAAAUCAGUCGAAGAUACCAGCUGGCUGCAACUGUUUAUUAAAAACACAGCACUGUGCAAACACGAAAGUGGACGUAUACGGUGUGACGCCUGCCCGGUGCCGGAAGGUUAAUUGAUGGGGUCAGCGCAAGCGAAGCUCUUGAUCGAAGCCCCGGUAAACGGCGGCCGUAACUAUAACGGUCCUAAGGUAGCGAAAUUCCUUGUCGGGUAAGUUCCGACCUGCACGAAUGGCGUAAUGAUGGCCAGGCUGUCUCCACCCGAGACUCAGUGAAAUUGAACUCGCUGUGAAGAUGCAGUGUACCCGCGGCAAGACGGAAAGACCCCGUGAACCUUUACUAUAGCUUGACACUGAACAUUGAGCCUUGAUGUGUAGGAUAGGUGGGAGGCUUUGAAGUGUGGACGCCAGUCUGCAUGGAGCUGACCUUGAAAUACCACCCUUUAAUGUUUGAUGUUCUAACGUUGACCCGUAAUCCGGGUUGCGGACAGUGUCUGGUGGGUAGUUUGACUGGGGCGGUCUCCUCCUAAAGAGUAACGGAGGAGCACGAAGGUUGGCUAAUCCUGGUCGGACAUCAGGAGGUUAGUGCAAUGGCAUAAGCCAGCUUGACUGCGAGCGUGACGGCGCGAGCAGGUGCGAAAGCAGGUCAUAGUGAUCCGGUGGUUCUGAAUGGAAGGGCCAUCGCUCAACGGAUAAAAGGUACUCCGGGGAUAACAGGCUGAUACCGCCCAAGAGUUCAUAUCGACGGCGGUGUUUGGCACCUCGAUGUCGGCUCAUCACAUCCUGGGGCUGAAGUAGGUCCCAAGGGUAUGGCUGUUCGCCAUUUAAAGUGGUACGCGAGCUGGGUUUAGAACGUCGUGAGACAGUUCGGUCCCUAUCUGCCGUGGGCGCUGGAGAACUGAGGGGGGCUGCUCCUAGUACGAGAGGACCGGAGUGGACGCAUCACUGGUGUUCGGGUUGUCAUGCCAAUGGCACUGCCCGGUAGCUAAAUGCGGAAGAGAUAAGUGCUGAAAGCAUCUAAGCACGAAACUUGCCCCGAGAUGAGUUCUCCCUGACCCUUUAAGGGUCCUGAAGGAACGUUGAAGACGACGACGUUGAUAGGCCGGGUGUGUAAGCGCAGCGAUGCGUUGAGCUAACCGGUACUAAUGAACCGUGAGGCUUAACCUU
Molecule: ribosomal RNA, 2901 nt
Filed under: Escherichia coli UMEA 3151-1
Lineage: Bacteria; Pseudomonadati; Pseudomonadota; Gammaproteobacteria; Enterobacterales; Enterobacteriaceae
Description: bacterial LSU rRNA
Rfam family: Bacterial large subunit ribosomal RNA
Source: RNAcentral